UACGGGGGGAGCAAGCGUUGUUCGGAUUUACUGGGCGUAAAGGGCGCGUAGGCGGCCAGCACAAGUCAGUUGUGAAAUCUCCGAGCUUAACUCGGAAAGGUCAACUGAUACUGUGCGGCUAGAGUGCGGAAGGGGCAACUGGAAUUCUUGGUGUAGCGGUGAGAUGCGUAGAUAUCAAGAGGAACACCUGCGGCGAAGGCGGGUUGCUGGGCCGACACUGACGCUGAGGCGCGAAAGCCAGGGGAGCGAACGGG
This 254-nucleotide ribosomal RNA is filed under the name uncultured bacterium. RNAcentral's name for it is "partial 16S ribosomal RNA". It matches the Rfam family "Bacterial small subunit ribosomal RNA", at positions 524 to 776 of the family's 1533-position model. The record is from RNAcentral.